UACGUAGGGUGCGAGCGUUGUCCGGAAUUAUUGGGCGUAAAGGGCUCGUAGGCGGUUUGUCGCGUCGGGAGUGAAAACACUGGGCUUAACUCAGUGCUUGCUUCCGAUACGGGCAGACUAGAGGUAUUCAGGGGAGAACGGAAUUCCUGGUGUAGCGGUGAAAUGCGCAGAUAUCAGGAGGAACACCGGUGGCGAAGGCGGUUCUCUGGGCCGAUACUGACGCUGAGGAGCGAAAGCGUGGGGAGCGAACAGG
This 253-nucleotide ribosomal RNA is filed under the name uncultured bacterium. Its description in RNAcentral is "partial 16S ribosomal RNA". It matches the Rfam family "Bacterial small subunit ribosomal RNA", at positions 524 to 776 of the family's 1533-position model. The record is from RNAcentral.